RNAcentral lists this ribosomal RNA (868 nucleotides) under uncultured archaeon. RNAcentral describes it as "bacterial SSU rRNA". It matches the Rfam family "Archaeal small subunit ribosomal RNA", at positions 1 to 878 of the family's 1478-position model. The record is from RNAcentral.
CUCCGGUUGAUCCCGCCGGACCCGACUGCUAUCAGAGUGGGACUAAGCCAUGCGAGUCAACAUAGCAAUAUGUGGCAUACGGCUCAGUAACACGUAGUCAACAUGCCCAGGGGACGUGGAUAACCUCGGGAAACUGAGGAUAAACCGCGAUAGGUCAUCACUUCUGGAAUGGGUAAUGACUUAAAUCUAUAUGGCCCUUGGAUUGGACUGCGGCCGAUCAGGCUGUUGGUGAGGUAAUGGCCCACCAAACCUGUAACCGGUACGGGCUCUGAGAGGAGGAGCCCGGAGAUGGGCACUGAGACAAGGGCCCAGGCCCUAUGGGGCGCAGCAGGCGCGAAACCUCUGCAAUAGGCGAAAGCUUGACAGGGUUACUCUGAGUGAUUUCCGUUAAGGAGAUCUUUUGGCACCUCUAAAAAUGGUGCAGAAUAAGGGGUGGGCAAGUCUGGUGUCAGCCGCCGCGGUAAUACCAGCACCCCGAGUGGUCGGGACGUUUAUUGGGCCUAAAGCAUCCGUAGCCGGUUCUACAAGUCUUCCGUUAAAUCCACCUGCUUAACAGAUGGGCUGCGGAAGAUACUAUAGAGCUAGGAGGCGGGAGAGGCAAGCGGUACUCGAUGGGUAGGGGUAAAAUCCGUUGAUCCAUUGAAGACCACCAGUGGCGAAGGCGGCUUGCCAGAACGCGCUCGACGGUGAGGGAUGAAAGCUGGGGGAGCAAACCGGAUUAGAUACCCGGGUAGUCCCAGCUGUAAACGAUGCAGACUCGGUGAUGAGUUGGCUUAUUGCUAACUCAGUGCCGCAGGGAAGCCGUUAAGUUUGCCGCCUGGGGAGUACGGUCGCAAGACUGAAACUUAAAGGAAUUGGCGGGGGAGCA